Molecule: ribosomal RNA, 253 nt
Filed under: uncultured bacterium
Lineage: Bacteria
Description: partial 16S ribosomal RNA
Rfam family: Bacterial small subunit ribosomal RNA
Source: RNAcentral
UACGUAGGGGGCUAGCGUUGUCCGGAAUCAUUGGGCGUAAAGCGCGUGUAGGCGGUUCGGUAAGUCCGCUGUGAAAGUCGGGGGCUCAACCCUCGAAAGCCGGUGGAUACUGUCGGACUAGAGUACGGAAGAGGCGACUGGAAUUCCUGGUGUAGCGGUGAAAUGCGCAGAUAUCAGGAGGAACACCGGUGGCGAAGGCGGGUCUCUGGGCCGAUACUGACGCUGAGGAGCGAAAGCCAGGGGAGCAAACGGG